Molecule: ribosomal RNA, 789 nt
Filed under: Meloidogyne sp. CLX-2016
Lineage: Eukaryota; Metazoa; Nematoda; Chromadorea; Rhabditida; Meloidogynidae
Also listed under: 1 other name
Description: LSU rRNA
Rfam family: Eukaryotic large subunit ribosomal RNA
Source: RNAcentral
ACAAGUACCGUGAGGGAAAGUUGCAAAGCACUUUGAAGAGAGAGUUAAAGAGGACGUGAAACCGAUGAGAUGGAAACGGAUAGGGCCUGCGUAUCCGGCAUGUAUUCAACCAUAUUUUACUUCUGCACUCAGAGUUGUUGGCGCUCCAGAUUGGGACAGCGACCCUGUGCGGACAGCAGUAUUGUGUUGCAUUUGCAUGUGUGGUGCGUAGAGGCAUUCGGGGCGGUGGUUUGAUACCAGUUUUGAGGCCAGCUUGCUGGUACCCAAAUUGGUGAAAAGCCAUUCACUCUGUAUGUGUGUUGUACGCUAUGGGAUUUCCGUACUAGAUUUGGUGCCGAGCUAGGGGUCAGUGGCGGUCGCACGCGACAAUUGCUUUGUACCUUAGUUCGGCCCUAGUCGAGUUCUCAUACGCGUGUUCUCUGCGUAUAAGCUGGUCACCUAUCUGACCCGUCUUGAAACACGGACCAAGGAGUUUAUCGUGUGCGCGAGCCAUUGGGCGUUCAAAACCCAAAGGCGCAAUGAAAGUGAAUGCUCUCGCAAGAGACUAAUGUGCGACCUGGUGCGCCUCGGCGCUCCGGUGCAGCAUGGCCCCAUCCCAACUGCAUGCAAUGGGGUGGCGGAAGAGCGUAUGCGGUGAGACCCGAAAGAUGGUGAACUAUUCCUGAGCAGGAUGAAGCCAGAGGAAACUCUGGUGGAAGUCCGAAGCGAUUCUGACGUGCAAAUCGAUCGUCUGACUUGGGUAUAGGGGCGAAAGACUAAUCGAACCAUCUAGUAGCUGGUUCCUUCCGA